Pelobates cultripes (western spadefoot toad) is the source of this 347-nucleotide non-coding RNA. The record is from the annotation of a GenBank genome assembly. NCBI's taxonomy places the organism in Eukaryota, Metazoa, Chordata, Amphibia, Anura, Pelobatidae.
GGCGGAGCUUAUAACAAUGAUUGACAGGGAGCUAAGAUGGAGGUGGCUCUCUCUAUACUGACUGCCAGGUGUAAAGGGCAGAGCUUAUAACAAUGAUUGACAGGGAGCUAAGAUGGAGGUGGCUCUCUCUAUGCUGACUGCCAGGUGUAAAGGGCAGAGCUUAUAACAAUGAUUGACAGGGAGCUAAGAUGGAGGUGGCUCUCUCUAUACUGACUGCCAGGUGUAAAGGGCGGAGCUUAUAACAAUGACUGACAGGGAGCUAAGAUGGAGGUGGCCCUCUCUAUACUGACUGCCAGGUGUAAAGGGCGGAGCUUAUAACAAUGAUUGACAGGGAGCUAAGAUGGAGG